CAUGUUGAACACUGAAGUUAAGCAAUGUCAAUCCUGGUCAGUACUGAGAUAGGUGAUCACUUGGGAAUACCAGGUGCUGUAA
Acanthosepion pharaonis is the source of this 82-nucleotide non-coding RNA. The record is from the annotation of a GenBank genome assembly. Lineage: Eukaryota; Metazoa; Mollusca; Cephalopoda; Sepiida; Sepiidae.